This 473-nucleotide ribosomal RNA is filed under the name uncultured bacterium. RNAcentral describes it as "bacterial SSU rRNA". It matches the Rfam family "Bacterial small subunit ribosomal RNA", at positions 335 to 801 of the family's 1533-position model. The record is from RNAcentral.
ACUCCUACGGGAGGCAGCAGUAGGGAAUCUUCCACAAUGGGCGCAAGCCUGAUGGAGCAACACCGCAUGAGUGAAGAAGGGUUUCGGCUCGUAAAGCUCUGUUGUUAAAGAAGAACACGUAUGAGAGUAACUGUUCAUACGUUGACGGUAUUUAACCAGAAAGUCACGGCUAACUACGUGCCAGCAGCCGCGGUAAUACGUAGGUGGCAAGCGUUAUCCGGAUUUAUUGGGCGUAAAGAGAGUGCAGGCGGUUUUCUAAGUCUGAUGUGAAAGCCUUCGGCUUAACCGGAGAAGUGCAUCGGAAACUGGAUAACUUGAGUGCAGAAGAGGGUAGUGGAACUCCAUGUGUAGCGGUGGAAUGCGUAGAUAUAUGGAAGAACACCAGUGGCGAAGGCGGCUACCUGGUCUGCAACUGACGCUGAGACUCGAAAGCAUGGGUAGCGAACAGGAUUAGAUACCCUGGUAGGAUAGCG